GACGAACGCUGGCGGCGUGCUUAACACAUGCAAGUCGAACGAAGAGCGAUGGAAGCUUGCUUCUAUCAAUCUUAGUGGCGAACGGGUGAGUAACGCGUAAUCAACCUGCCCUUCAGAGGGGGACAACAGUUGGAAACGACUGCUAAUACCGCAUACGAUCUAAUCUCGGCAUCGAGGAUAGAUGAAAGGUGGCCUCUACAUGUAAGCUAUCACUGAAGGAGUGGAUUGCGUCUGAUUAGCUAGUUGGAGGGGUAACGGCCCACCAAGGCGAUGAUCAGUAGCCGGUCUGAGAGGAUGAACGGCCACAUUGGGACUGAGACACGGCCCAGACUCCUACGGGAGGCAGCAGUGGGGAAUCUUCCGCAAUGGACGAAAGUCUGACGGAGCAACGCCCGCGUGAGUGAUGACGGCCCUUUCGGGGUUGUAAAAGCUCUGUUAAAUCGGG
RNAcentral lists this ribosomal RNA (445 nucleotides) under Veillonella parvula. Its description in RNAcentral is "bacterial SSU rRNA". It matches the Rfam family "Bacterial small subunit ribosomal RNA", at positions 28 to 445 of the family's 1533-position model. Lineage: Bacteria; Bacillati; Bacillota; Negativicutes; Veillonellales; Veillonellaceae. The record is from RNAcentral.